This 69-nucleotide transfer RNA is filed under the name Exutisphaerella laricina CBS 326.52. RNAcentral's name for it is "tRNA-Arg (CCT) (tRNA-Arg-CCT-1-1)". The stretch from base 5 to 61 matches the Rfam family "tRNA", at positions 8 to 63 of the family's 71-position model. From Rfam's summary of the family: Transfer RNA (tRNA) molecules are approximately 80 nucleotides in length. Their secondary structure includes four short double-helical elements and three loops (D, anti-codon, and T loops). Lineage: Eukaryota; Fungi; Ascomycota; Dothideomycetes; Mycosphaerellales; Mycosphaerellaceae. The record is from RNAcentral.
UGCUUGGCUCAAUGGUAGAGCGUCCGCCUCCUAAGCGGAAGGUUGUGGGUUCGAGUCCCAUGGUGGUAA